This is a long non-coding RNA of Chenopodium quinoa (quinoa), 3311 nucleotides long. RefSeq lists it as uncharacterized. The transcript is spliced from 3 exons. Lineage: Eukaryota; Viridiplantae; Streptophyta; Magnoliopsida; Caryophyllales; Amaranthaceae. The record is from RefSeq and is a predicted model, not a curated record.
GAUCAUCUGACGGUUCCCUGGUAAGUGAUUGCUAUUUCUUCUCCUUUUUCUCCUCCACCAGUUGAUCAAUUUUUUUUUUCUUUGUAGCUGCUGGUAGGGGUAAAUUAGGGUCUUUGACAUAGUCAAGGUCUAUUGGCUCCCACUAGUAGAAAAACAUAAAUAGGCACUGAAUAAAUGGCACUAGUUUUUAAGAACCGGUGGUAAAAAAAAUUAGGCGGAAUCAGUAUAAAAGAAAUGCCACUAGUUCAAACCAAACCGGUGUCAAAUUGGUGAAAUGGCACAGGUUUGAACCGGUGGCAAUUCAUUAAUGUAAAAAAAAAACGCCCCUUUAGUUUCUUUCUCUUUCCUCAAUCUCGAGUUCUCUCUCUCUUCUUUCUCCUGUCUCCUCAACUAAGAUCUCCCUCUUCUCUUUCUCUUUCCUCUCUCCUCAACUAGAUCUAGGGUUUCUGAUUUCUACUCCACCUCACCCUCGUACAUCUGCUUUUUCGGUGGCCGUCCCAAUCAAGUCCGAAACAAGGUUCUCUAUUCCGGCGGCUUCAACAGUUCAACAUGGUUGGUAGUACUGUAGCAUCGUUUAUUCCAGUGGCUGUCUGAGAUGUUAUCUAUAUUGAAGCGAACAAAGGGGCAGUUAAGUGGGUGGGAAUAAGUGAUGCUUUUUCCACAGAGUUCGACCUUGAGGCAAAGGAGUCUUUCCCACUUCCUAAAGGAGAAGUUCACAAAACAAAACAAAAAAAAAAAGGAAAUUGUGCAGGUUUGUGAUGUGAUUGUUUAGGUGUUUUGGAUUUAUUUUUGUUCUCCUCUAGCUUAAUUUGGGUGUUUUAGAUUUUUUUUGUUCUCCUUCAGCUUAAGUUCAUUGAGACAAAUUAUGAGCUUAAUUUGAGUGUUUUGUAUUUUUUUUGUUCUCAUUCAGCUUGGGAUUGUUUGGAAUGGUUUUGUGAGUAUACUAGUAUCAAAUGUGAUUUUGUUUUGUGCGAUUAUAAUAGUAUCUAUUUUGUUUUGUGAUUUUGUUUGGGAUUGUUAUGUUGGAUGAUUGCUUUGUUUGUAAUGAUGAUGAUUUUGCUACUUGGAUUUGAACAAGAUCUCGAAAAGAUGAUAUUUUUGGUUGUUUUGGUGGAUUGAUUGGUAUGAUAAUUGAUUUCUCUUUGUUCUUGGUGUGUUAAUUGAGGUUAUGUGUAUUAGAAUGAAUUUUUAGAAUUACUCUUUGUUUCCUUUUCUUUAGUUCCUGUAUUUUUUAGAGUGCGUGUUAUCAGGUUUAUGUAGCUACUCAUAACAAACUUAUGUAGGCGUUCGGCUUAAGAUGAGCACUGUAAUAUUUAUAGAGAUGAGCAGUGCAAUAACAAACUUUCUUGUGUCCUUAUUGAUUUGAAUGAUUUUGAGUCAAGUUUUGUGAUUUUACUGCAGUGAUAUACAGAUGGGAUAAUUGUAGAUCAGUUCCUGUUCUUAAUAAAAAGAAGACUAUAGCUAUGUAUGAACAACUUUACAUCUUUGUCAUAAAAUGUGGAAGUGUUAGUUUUAAGCUUGUGUAAAUGUGUAUUUGAUCCCUAUUGUGACUUGCCUAGAUGGGAGAACCUUAAAUUUUGAGCCCCGGGUUUUUGGAAAUAAGUAAUAUAUAGAAGUGGAGUUCAAAAGAGAACAUUCAUCAAAACCAAGUCUGACUCUAACAAUUGCACCAUUUUUUUUUCCUUCAUAGGACUACAACAGUACAACUCACUAGUAGUCAUGACUCAGUAAUUUUUUUAAUUUUCAAUAUGACUUUGAUUGUUUUUAAGUAAUGUUAAGUGUAUGGUAGUGGGUUUGGAUGCUUGUUAUUGGUUGUAUUAUGGGUAAAAUUCAAUUUAGAAUGUUGGCAUAAUACUUAGAUUAAAUAAAACAAUUGAAUAUUCUACUUUUGUAAAAUGAAAUUUAAAAAUUGAAAGAAUAAAGAAGCAUUUUAGGAAAAGUAGACUUCUAUUUAUGCAUUACAUUCCUGGAUCUGUUUAGCCGUUGCCUUGCAAGGCUGCUGCUGCAGCCGCUGCCUCGUAAGGCUGUUGCUGCAUGCUUCUACGCCCUGCUACUGUUCUGAUCUCCUGAUGUUGCUGCUAUGCUCUACGCCACUGCUGUAAUACUCUCGCUGCUGCUAAUCUGCUCUACACUACUGUUAAUUUGGUUCUGUUUUGCUGUCAUAUUUGCUUAUAAAAUUUUCAUUUUUGUAAUUUUUUUUUUAUUUUUUUUAUUGAGUUGUGCCUCAAAAUUUUGUUAUAACAUUCAUAGUUUCUGCGUAUUUCAAAAGACAAAAAGAAAGAUGAUUCUUGCAAAAAUCUGUUUUUUUUUUUUAAUGGAAUACUAAUAAUAAGAAAUUAAGAAUAAAGAGGUCCUAUUGGCUGUGGGAAUUCAGAAGGUUGGACAGUGAGAUAAGGGUAUGCACGUGUAUGUCUAAAAGCCUUACACUUGACUUAGUUGGUAGUUUGAGUUUACGUGUAUCAGUAUGUACCUCAUGCACAAUUUUGAGGGUGGAUGUAUUGGAGAGGUUUCGAGUGAUUCCAGUGAUAGGAGAAGGGUUUGAGCCUGUUUAUGUUCCUCAAUUGACGACAAAUAUGCAAGUUGGUUUGUUGGUAAGGAUUGAAGAAAGAAUCAAAAUUUGAAUGACCGAAUUGAAUUGUUGAAUUCUAAUGCUAUAUUGUCUUUUUAAGUCUAAUACAGAGUACAUUUUCGCCUUGAUUUCUCCUUUUCCGUAAAAAUGAUUAUUUAUUAUAAGCAGACUUUCAGGUAGUGUACCAAACUAAGCUUUUUAUUAGAUUGAAAUUUUAACAUUUAGUUUUUAAUAAAGCUCUCUGCUCUCUCAAGCCUGAUCAGGAUGAUUUCCUUGCUAAUUAAGGGGUUCAAGCUGCGAUUUUCACAAAUUUGAAGAUGCUAAUGCAGGUGAACUCUGCAAUAUGAGGAAUUUUAUCAGUUGUUGAGGCUGUUCGUGUGAUUGUGGACCGACACACAAGUCUUGAAAAAGGGAUAGCUUAUGUAUUGUUCAAAACAAGGGUGUAUGCCUUAUUCUCUGUCUGUGAAACCACUAGCAAGGCUGCUACUGCUGUCCUGCAGCAACUGGCUCGCAAGGCUGCUGCUGCCUCGCAAGGCUGUUGUUGCUGCUGCCUUGCUAGGCUGCUUCUACCCGCUUCUAUGCUCUUGUUGUUCUUAUGGUCUACGCUACUGCUUCUAUGCUCCUUCAGAUGCUGCUGCUAUACUCUACACCACUGUUGCCAAUCAGCUCUACGCUACUGUUGUAAUAUUAUUGCAGUCGAUCUGUUACAAUAUAAAACUAUAUUCUUUUUUUUGAAUUAAAA